This 484-nucleotide ribosomal RNA is filed under the name uncultured bacterium. RNAcentral's name for it is "partial 16S ribosomal RNA". It matches the Rfam family "Bacterial small subunit ribosomal RNA", at positions 30 to 507 of the family's 1533-position model. The record is from RNAcentral.
AUUGAACGCUGGCGGCAGGCCUAACACAUGCAAGUCGAGCGGAUGAAGGGAGCUUGCUCCUGGAUCCAGCGGCGGACGGGUGAGUAAUGCCUAGGAAUCUGCCUGCUAGUGGGGGAUAACGUCCGGAAACGGGCGCUAAUAACGCAUACGUCCUGAGGGAGAAAGUGGGGGAUGUUUGGACCUCACGCUCUCAGAUGAGCCUAGGUCGGAUUAGCUAGUUGGUGGGGUAAAGGCCUACCAAGGCGACGAUCCGUAACUGGUCUGAGAGGAUGACCAGUCACACUGGAACUGAGCCACGGUCCAGACUCCUACGGGAGGCAGCAGUGGGGAAUAUUGGACAAUGGGCGAAAGCCUGGUCCAGCCAUGCCGCGUGUGUUAAAAAGGUCUUCGGAUUGUAAAGCACUUUAAGUUGGGAGGAAGGGCAGUAAGUUAAUACCUUGCUGUUUUGACGUUACCGGCAGAAUAAGCACCGGCUAACUUCGUG